UAACUCUGGUUUCCCUUCAAAACGUAUAAAUCUUUCGCCUUUUACUAAAGAUUUCCGUGGAGGGGAACACUCAAAUGAGUCUAAAGACUAUUUUUUAACGCUUUGCUUCGGCGGAGCU
This 118-nucleotide small nuclear RNA is filed under the name Pectinophora gossypiella (pink bollworm). RNAcentral describes it as "U5 spliceosomal RNA". It matches the Rfam family "U5 spliceosomal RNA". From Rfam's summary of the family: U5 RNA is a component of both types of known spliceosome. The precise function of this molecule is unknown, though it is known that the 5' loop is required for splice site selection and p220 binding, and that both the 3' stem-loop and the Sm site are important for Sm protein binding and cap methylation. Lineage: Eukaryota; Metazoa; Arthropoda; Insecta; Lepidoptera; Gelechiidae. The record is from RNAcentral.